RNAcentral lists this ribosomal RNA (2782 nucleotides) under Enterobacter cloacae. RNAcentral's name for it is "bacterial LSU rRNA". It matches the Rfam family "Bacterial large subunit ribosomal RNA". The record is from RNAcentral. Lineage: Bacteria; Pseudomonadati; Pseudomonadota; Gammaproteobacteria; Enterobacterales; Enterobacteriaceae.
AGCGUACACGGUGGAUGCCCUGGCAGUCAGAGGCGAUGAAGGACGUGCUAAUCUGCGAAAAGCGCCGGCGAGGUGAUAUGAACCCUUGACCCGGCGAUGUCCGAAUGGGGAAACCCAGUGCAAUCCGUUGCACUAUCGUUAACUGAAUACAUAGGUUAACGAGGCGAACCGGGGGAACUGAAACAUCUAAGUACCCCGAGGAAAAGAAAUCAACCGAGAUUCCCCCAGUAGCGGCGAGCGAACGGGGAGCAGCCCGGAGUCUGAAUCAGCUUGUGUGUUAGUGGAACGGUCUGGAAAGUCCGACGGUACAGGGUGAUAGUCCCGUACACGAAAAUGCACAUGCUGUGAACUCGAAGAGUAGGGCGGGACACGUGGUAUCCUGUCUGAAUAUGGGGGGACCAUCCUCCAAGGCUAAAUACUCCUGACUGACCGAUAGUGAACCAGUACCGUGAGGGAAAGGCGAAAAGAACCCCGGCGAGGGGAGUGAAAAAGAACCUGAAACCGUGUACGUACAAGCAGUGGGAGCCUCUUUAUGGGGUGACUGCGUACCUUUUGUAUAAUGGGUCAGCGACUUAUAUUCUGUAGCAAGGUUAACCGUAUAGGGGAGCCGAAGGGAAACCGAGUCUUAACUGGGCGUUAAGUUGCAGGGUAUAGACCCGAAACCCGGUGAUCUAGCCAUGGGCAGGUUGAAGGUUGGGUAACACUAACUGGAGGACCGAACCGACUAAUGUUGAAAAAUUAGCGGAUGACCUGUGGCUGGGGGUGAAAGGCCAAUCAAACCGGGAGAUAGCUGGUUCUCCCCGAAAGCUAUUUAGGUAGCGCCUCGUGAACUCAUCUUCGGGGGUAGAGCACUGUUUCGGCUAGGGGGCCAUCCCGGCUUACCAACCCGAUGCAAACUACGAAUACCGAAGAAUGUUAUCACGGGAGACACACGGCGGGUGCUAACGUCCGUCGUGAAGAGGGAAACAACCCAGACCGCCAGCUAAGGUCCCAAAGUCAUGGUUAAGUGGGAAACGAUGUGGGAAGGCACAGACAGCCAGGAUGUUGGCUUAGAAGCAGCCAUCAUUUAAAGAAAGCGUAAUAGCUCACUGGUCGAGUCGGCCUGCGCGGAAGAUGUAACGGGGCUAAACCAUGCACCGAAGCUGCGGCAGCGACACUAUGUGUUGUUGGGUAGGGGAGCGUUCUGUAAGCCGUUGAAGGUGUGCUGUGAGGCAUGCUGGAGGUAUCAGAAGUGCGAAUGCUGACAUAAGUAACGAUAAAGCGGGUGAAAAGCCCGCUCGCCGGAAGACCAAGGGUUCCUGUCCAACGUUAAUCGGGGCAGGGUGAGUCGACCCCUAAGGCGAGGCCGAAAGGCGUAGUCGAUGGGAAACAGGUUAAUAUUCCUGUACUUGGUGUUACUGCGAAGGGGGGACGGAGAAGGCUAUGUCAGCCGGGCGACGGUUGUCCCGGUUUAAGCAUGUAGGCGGAGGUUCCAGGUAAAUCCGGUACCUUAUUAACGCUGAGGUGUGAUGACGAGGCACUACGGUGCUGAAGUGAUAAAUGCCCUGCUUCCAGGAAAAGCCUCUAAGCAUCAGGUAACACGAAAUCGUACCCCAAACCGACACAGGUGGUCAGGUAGAGAAUACCAAGGCGCUUGAGAGAACUCGGGUGAAGGAACUAGGCAAAAUGGUGCCGUAACUUCGGGAGAAGGCACGCUGAUAUGUAGGUGAAGCCCCUGCGGGCGGAGCUGAAAUCAGUCGAAGAUACCAGCUGGCUGCAACUGUUUAUUAAAAACACAGCACUGUGCAAACACGAAAGUGGACGUAUACGGUGUGACGCCUGCCCGGUGCCGGAAGGUUAAUUGAUGGGGUUAGCGGCAACGCGAAGCUCUUGAUCGAAGCCCCGGUAAACGGCGGCCGUAACUAUAACGGUCCUAAGGUAGCGAAAUUCCUUGUCGGGUAAGUUCCGACCUGCACGAAUGGCGUAAUGAUGGCCAGGCUGUCUCCACCCGAGACUCAGUGAAAUUGAACUCGCUGUGAAGAUGCAGUGUACCCGCGGCAAGACGGAAAGACCCCGUGAACCUUUACUAUAGCUUGACACUGAACACUGGUCCUUGAUGUGUAGGAUAGGUGGGAGGCUUUGAAGCGUGGACGCCAGUCUGCGUGGAGCCAACCUUGAAAUACCACCCUUUAAUGGCUGGUGUUCUAACGUGGACCCGUNNNNNNNNNNNCCGGGUUGCGGACAGUGUCUGGUGGGUAGUUUGACUGGGGCGGUCUCCUCCCAAAGAGUAACGGAGGAGCACGAAGGUUGGCUAAUCCUGGUCGGACAUCAGGAGGUUAGUGCAAUGGCAUAAGCCAGCUUGACUGCGAGCGUGACGGCGCGAGCAGGUGCGAAAGCAGGUCAUAGUGAUCCGGUGGUUCUGAAUGGAAGGGCCAUCGCUCAACGGAUAAAAGGUACUCCGGGGAUAACAGGCUGAUACCGCCCAAGAGUUCAUAUCGACGGCGGUGUUUGGCACCUCGAUGUCGGCUCAUCACAUCCUGGGGCUGAAGUAGGUCCCAAGGGUAUGGCUGUUCGCCAUUUAAAGUGGUACGCGAGCUGGGUUUAGAACGUCGUGAGACAGUUCGGUCCCUAUCUGCCGUGGGCGCUGGAGAAUUGAGGGGGGCUGCUCCUAGUACGAGAGGACCGGAGUGGACGCAUCACUGGUGUUCGGGUUGUCAUGCCAAUGGCACUGCCCGGUAGCUAAAUGCGGAAGAGAUAAGUGCUGAAAGCAUCUAAGCACGAAACUUGCCCCGAGAUGAGUUCU